AGGGUUCGAUUCUGGCUCAGGAUGAACGCUGGCGGCAUGCCUAACACAUGCAAGUCGAACGGAGCUAUUACGGAAGCUUGCUUUGUUUAGCUUAGUGGCGGACGGGUGAGUAACGCGUGAGGAACCUGCCCUUCAGUGGGGAAUAACACCGAGAAAUCGGUGCUAAUACCGCAUAACGUCUUGAGAUCGCAUGUUCUUAAGACCAAAGGAUUUAUUCGCUGAAGGAUGGCCUCGCGUCCGAUUAGUUAGUUGGUGGGGUAACGGCCUACCAAGACCGCGAUCGGUAGCCGAACUGAGAGGUUGAUCGGCCACAGUUGGGACUGAGACACGGCCCAGACUCCUACGGGAGGCAGCAGGUGGGGAAUAGUUGGGCAAGUACGGGGGAAACCCUCGACCCAGCAAUGCCGCGUGAAGGACGAAGGUCUUCGGAUUGUAAACUUCUUUGAUUGGGGAAGAAUAAAUGACCUACCCAAAGAACAAGUCACGGCUAACUACGUGCCAGCCGCUGC
RNAcentral lists this ribosomal RNA (509 nucleotides) under uncultured bacterium. RNAcentral describes it as "bacterial SSU rRNA". It matches the Rfam family "Bacterial small subunit ribosomal RNA", at positions 8 to 518 of the family's 1533-position model. The record is from RNAcentral.